CCACAAAACGAACCAGCCCUUUUUUUCUCGAAGAAGAUGAAGCAAGCUAUUCUUACAUGGAGUCAUUCUCCAACAUUUCUUCCCAAAUUACCACCAACCUCCAUUUUCCUCAAACCCCAAAAUAUCAUUUUAAGGAUUUAUGCAACUGUAGAGAAUGUUGGACUAACAGCUAAAGAGAGAAGGCAAUUGAGAAAUGAGAGAAGAGAAAGUAAGACAGGUUAUAAUUGGAGAGAAGAAGUAGAAGAAAGACUUAUUAAGAAACCAAAGAAGGAGUAUAAGUCUUGGACUGAAGAACUUAAUCUUGAUAAUCUUGCUAAAUUGGGUACUCAAUGGUGGGUUGUUAGAGUUUCUAGAGUUAAUGGUCAUGAAACUGCUGAAAGGAUGGCUAGAGCUCUUUCUAGGAACUUUCCUGAUAUUGAUUUUCAGGUAUACAUUCCAUCUGUACAGGUCAAAAGGAAAUUAAAGAACGGAACACUUUCAGUUAAACCGAAACCCCUUUUCCCAGGAUGUGUGUUUCUUAAGUGUGUGCUGAACAAGGAAAUACAUGAUUUCAUUCGAGAAUGUGCUGGAAUUGGAGGCUUUGUUGGAUCCAAGGUUGGAAAUACAAAACGGCAGAUCAAUAAACCCAGACCUGUAGAUGAGGAUGAUCUGGAAGCCAUAUUCAAACAAGCAAAGGAAGAACAAGAGAGAGCUGAUCAAGCUUUUGAAGAAGAGGAACAAGGAGAAGGAGGUUUAGAUUCUAGUAUAGCUCCCACUGACGAUAAAGUUGUGCCCAAAAAACGAGGAAGGCAAUCUAAAAAAGCUUCAGACCUACUUACAGUUGAUGCAUUGAGAGGAUCUGAUGAUAAAUCUUUAAUACCAGGGUCAACUAUUGAAGUUGUGUCUGGAGCCUUUGCAGGAUUUUCAGGGAUUCUUAAGAAGGUUGAUAGCAAGGCAGGAUUGGCAACUGUUGGAUUUUCUCUAUUUGGCAAGGAGACUCUAGCUGAUAUAGAUGUCAAAGAAAUUGUAGCUGAGGUUGGCUGACCUGUUUAGGCUGCUGAUACUUUUUUGUCUGAGAUGGCUCAUAUGCUAUAAAGGGAUGGAUCUAAACUUAUAAAAAGAUAAUUCCAAGCUCAAACAUAAUGGAACCACACAUACCCAUGGGGUGUAGGCAUCCCAAAGUUACGUUGGGUCGGAGCAUCUUCUUCUCUUUCUGCGCAGUGACCAGGUGUUCGAGCAGAUCGUGUGUUGACUUUAAAGUGGGACGAGCAACAUAUUAUGAUGAGUCAACAGUAGGCAGCGGGAUAUUAGAGCAAAGGUCUGCAAGGGAUUAAAGCUAAGGCAAAGGCUGGAUUAAUCUGAUUUGCCUAGGGGAUUCCAGAGUUAACUUGGGUAUCAAUCUGUUGCAAUUUUGACUUGGAUGUGGCUAAAAUGAGAUGGUAAUCUCUCUAGCCUAAACUCUGGACGAGUGUACUGUUGCUGCAGAAUGAAUAUUCAGGUGCAGAUCAAAUGCCUGUAUGAAUCUAUUUGAAGUUAUUACAUGAGUGUGUCAAAUAACACUAGGAAAAGAGAGUGAGAAAUCUUCUUCGCAGCUUCCAAAAUGGGAGUUGUCUUGUAGUAUUGCUUUCCUUGUAGAUGAAGAAAAUCUUGUUUUUUUUUUUCCAAUGGGGAAUUGCUCUGUAUUAUUGGAUAUGUCAUAGAUAUUGAAUCUCUUUCAUUGAAGGAAUUAGAGAAUAUUAUUAGGUUUAAAA
Molecule: RNA transcript, 1730 nt
Organism: Capsicum annuum
Lineage: Eukaryota; Viridiplantae; Streptophyta; Magnoliopsida; Solanales; Solanaceae
Gene name: transcription termination/antitermination protein NusG
Exons: 7
Source: RefSeq, a predicted model, not a curated record